AACGUAGGGUGCAAGCGUUGUCCGGAAUUACUGGGUGUAAAGGGAGCGCAGGCGGAUUGACAAGUUGGGAGUGAAAACUACGGGCUCAACCCGUAACCUGCUUUCAGAACUGUCAGUCUUGAGUGGUGUAGAGGUAGGCGGAAUUCCCGGUGUAGCGGUGGAAUGCGUAGAUAUCGGGAGGAACACCAGUGGCGAAGGCGGCCUACUGGGCACUAACUGACGCUGAGGCUCGAAAGCAUGGGUAGCAAACAGG
RNAcentral lists this ribosomal RNA (253 nucleotides) under uncultured bacterium. RNAcentral's name for it is "partial 16S ribosomal RNA". It matches the Rfam family "Bacterial small subunit ribosomal RNA", at positions 524 to 776 of the family's 1533-position model. The record is from RNAcentral.